GACGAACGCUGGCGGCGUGCUUAACACAUGCAAGUCGGACGGAAAGGCCCUGCUUUUGUGGGGUGCUCGAGUGGCGAACGGGUGAGUAACACGUGAGUAACCUGCCCUUGACUUUGGGAUAACUUCAGGAAACUGGGGCUAAUACCGGAUAGGAGCUCCUGCUGCAUGGUGGGGGUUGGAAAGUUUCGGCGGUUGGGGAUGGACUCGCGGCUUAUCAGCUUGUUGGUGGGGUAGUGGCUUACCAAGGCUUUGACGGGUAGCCGGCCUGAGAGGGUGACCGGCCACAUUGGGCCUGAGAUACGGCCCAGACUCCUACGGGAGGCAGCAGUGGGGAAUAUUGCACAAUGGGCGGAAGCCUGAUGCAGCAACGCCGCGUGCGGGAUGACGGCCUUCGGGUUGUAAACCGCUUUCGCCUGUGACGAAGCGUGAGUGACGGUAAUGGGUAAAGAAGCACCGGCUAACUACGUG
Molecule: ribosomal RNA, 468 nt
Filed under: uncultured bacterium
Lineage: Bacteria
Description: partial 16S ribosomal RNA
Rfam family: Bacterial small subunit ribosomal RNA
Source: RNAcentral